This 647-nucleotide ribosomal RNA is filed under the name uncultured soil bacterium. RNAcentral's name for it is "bacterial SSU rRNA". It matches the Rfam family "Bacterial small subunit ribosomal RNA", at positions 735 to 1397 of the family's 1533-position model. The record is from RNAcentral.
GGUUCCUGACGCUGAGGUGCGAAAGCUAGGGGAGCGAACGGGAUUAGAUACCCCGGUAGUCCUAGCCGUAAACGAUGACCACUAGGCGUGUGGGGUAUCGACCCCCUACGUGCCGACUCUAACGAAGUAAGUGGUCCGCCUGGGGAGUACGGUCGCAAGAUUAAAACUCAAAGGAAUUGACGGGGACCCGCACAAGCAGCGGAGCGUGUGGUUUAAUUCGAUGCAACGCGCAGAACCUUACCAGGGUUUGACAUGGCUCUGAUCGGGCGAGAAAUCGCCUUGCCUUCGGGACAGAGUCACAGGUGCUGCAUGGUUGUCGUCAGCUCGUGCCGUGAGGUGUUGGGUUAAGUCCCGCAACGAGCGCAACCCCUGUCGUCGGUUACGGGUGUCCGACGAGACUGCCGCGAUCAACGUGGAGGAAGGUGGGGAUGACGUCAAGUCAGCACGGCCCUUACAUCCUGGGCGACACACACGCUACAAUGGCUGGGACAAAGAGCGGCCAACCUGCGAAGGGGAGCUAAUCUCACAAACCCGGUCUCAGUUCAGAUUAGAGGCUGCAACCCGCCUCUAUGAAGUGGGAGUUGCUAGUAACCGUAGGUCAGCACACUACGGUGAAUACGUUCCCGGGUCUUGUACACACCGCCCGU